Molecule: long non-coding RNA, 1045 nt
Filed under: Nicotiana tabacum (common tobacco)
Lineage: Eukaryota; Viridiplantae; Streptophyta; Magnoliopsida; Solanales; Solanaceae
Description: long non-coding RNA (NTAB_LNC009612)
Source: RNAcentral
GGAUCGGGCUGCCCGCCGCAGCAAUGAUUUGAAACAAUGGUAACAAUGACACUAUAUGAUGUGACUUGAAAUAGUGGUAACAAUGGCACUAUGUGAUAUAAAUUGGUCAGGUAACAAUGACUGACCAGGACUUUAUUGAUGCCACGAGAUGGCUUGUUAUUGUGCUUGGGCUGUAGGAACCCCUCCGGAGUCUGUACACACCUCCAGAGGGUACUGUCAUAUGCAUUGCAUUGCACUCAUGCAUUUAUUCCUCAUCUACAUUAUUCGUAGUAAUAAUUAUGUGCUCUUAUUUCAUUGACUGGUUGCUUCAUACUGUUCUGAGCCUGAGGGGCUGAUAUUGUUCUGAGAUAAAGAGCCCGAGGGGCUGAUACGUUUCUGAGAUACUGAGCCCGAGGGGCUGAUACUGUUCUGAGAUACUGAGCCCGAGGGGCUGAUACUAUUCUGAGAUACUGAGCUCGAGGGGCAGAUUUCUACUUAUUAUUUUGAUACUGAGCUCGAUGGGCAGAUUUCUACUUAUUAUUUUGAUACUGAGCCCAAGGGGCAGAUUUCUACUCGUUGUUUUGAUAUUGAGCCCGAGAGGUAGAUUUCUACUCGUCAUUUUAAUGCCAAAUUACCUGUUUUUACUGGUUUUAAAGAAAUUUCACAUGAUGUUUGACUGAAUUGUUUUUUUAAAUGAUUUCACUGCUACUGUAUAGAGUGUUGUGUGCCUUAACGUGUUUUCUUACCCUCAGUUAUUAUAUAUAUUUAUUACUCACUGGGUCGGAGUACUCACAUUACUCCCUGCACCAUGUGUGCAGGUACAGGUAUUCCUGAGGCAUAGAGCGAGUUUUCUGCUGUUCAGUUUUCAUCGGAGUUAUCAAGGUAGCUGCAUGGCGUUCGCAGGCCCGUUUUCUCCCUUAUCUUCUGUAUUUAUGAUAUCUUCAGAUGUCGUUCCUAAUUCCGUACCUUGUAGAAUUUUAGUAAACUCUGUAGUAGCUCAUGCCUUGUGACACCCCGGUUAGGGCUGAGUUGGGUUGGAUUUCCGUAUUUUAUCUAUACUUUCCGC